GAGGGGGGAGAGUUUUUUACUUUUUUCUUUUCUCUGAAAUCCGACUUUUUUUUUCGUCUUUCCUUUCGGGGGUGUCGUUUUUUUACAUCGGCUUUUCAUCAUCGCGGUUUAGGCGCGCAAGGUUUUUAUAAAAAAUACUACCCGGAGCAUCGCGCAGGUGUGGAGAUUUUUUAUAAAACCCGCAGGGCUCGACCUUGCACAGCCGUAAGAACCGCGAUAUACCUUUGCCGAUGGGAAAAAUGACCACCUCAAUAGGAAAAGAAUAGACAGGAGGAUAGCAGAGAAAAGAAAAUCAUUAAAUGUAUACUCCGCUCUCCCUCGAUAGAGGGGUUUCUCAAACGCUCUUAAAUUUUAGCAUAGCGAAUUAUAAGAGGGUUUGUAGACAACUAAAACAAAUGUUUUAUUCCGGGUGAAGGUCGGAAGAAUUGACGGCCUGAAACCGAAUAAAUUAUUUGUUUUUCCGCUCUCCAUCGAUAGAGGGGUUCUGCGUUAGGGAUUGCAGGGGAAAUUCUUUUUUAAAAGAAUUGGAACGGAAAGCCCGACGGCUUUAGCCGGAACGCCCGAAUAAAAAUGGGUUUUUUAGCCAUUGGGAGAAUUGCCUAUGAGCGUAUAAAAAAAAACGGCAAAAGAGCAAUCCGGAUUGAAUUGGCCAACGAAAUUUUGACGGUAAAAAUCCAUCUGAAGAACCAGGCGCUGGCAAAAUUUUGCCGUCUUUUCAUAAGAAUAAAUUGACGGCAAAAAAGUUGCUUCAUUUGUUUUUUAAAAUCUUUUCGGUUACUUUGAACAGUCCGGAAAUCAGAUUUUUUACCGAGCUUGUAACAUUCUUAUUUUGGUCUGUCUCUUUUUCUUUGUUCACAGAAUAAGCGACAUAUAAUAGGAAUAUAAUCCAUGAGCUAUAAAGUAUAGUAUAUAUGAUAAUUUUCAUCUCA
This 929-nucleotide small RNA is filed under the name Tannerella forsythia 3313. RNAcentral's name for it is "Flavo-1 RNA". The record is from RNAcentral. Lineage: Bacteria; Pseudomonadati; Bacteroidota; Bacteroidia; Bacteroidales; Tannerellaceae.